RNAcentral lists this ribosomal RNA (253 nucleotides) under uncultured bacterium. RNAcentral's name for it is "partial 16S ribosomal RNA". It matches the Rfam family "Bacterial small subunit ribosomal RNA", at positions 524 to 776 of the family's 1533-position model. The record is from RNAcentral.
UACGUAGGGUGCAAGCGUUAAUCGGAAUUACUGGGCGUAAAGCGUGCGCAGGCGGUUUUGCAAGACCGAUGUGAAAUCCCCGGGCUUAACCUGGGAACUGCAUUGGUGACUGCACGGCUAGAGUGUGUCAGAGGGGGGUAGAAUUCCACGUGUAGCAGUGAAAUGCGUAGAGAUGUGGAGGAACACCGAUGGCGAAGGCAGCCCCCUGGGUCAAGAUUGACGCUCAUGCACGAAAGCGUGGGGAGCAAACAGG